Long non-coding RNA from Xiphophorus couchianus (Monterrey platyfish), 70 nucleotides. RefSeq lists it as uncharacterized. NCBI's taxonomy places the organism in Eukaryota, Metazoa, Chordata, Actinopteri, Cyprinodontiformes, Poeciliidae. The record is from RefSeq and is a predicted model, not a curated record. The transcript is spliced from 3 exons.
AAUUCUAAGGAAAAAAGUCAAUUGUGAGAUUAAAUUCAGAAUUCUGAGGGGAAAAUAAUCUGAAAUUAAA